GCCACUGCUAUUGGGGUUCGGCUAAGCCAUGCGAGUGGAGGGCGUCCCGCAAGGGAUGGCCCCGCAGACGGCUCAGUAACACGUCGUCAACCCACCUUAGGGUGGGGGACAACCUCGGGAAACUGAGGAUAAUCCCCCAUAGGCGGGGGAGGCUGGAAUGCGCCCCCGCUGAAAGCUCAGGCGCCCUAGGACGGGGCGGCGGCCUAUCAGGUAGUUG
This 217-nucleotide ribosomal RNA is filed under the name uncultured archaeon. RNAcentral describes it as "partial 16S ribosomal RNA". It matches the Rfam family "Archaeal small subunit ribosomal RNA", at positions 23 to 235 of the family's 1478-position model. The record is from RNAcentral.